This 253-nucleotide ribosomal RNA is filed under the name uncultured bacterium. RNAcentral describes it as "partial 16S ribosomal RNA". It matches the Rfam family "Bacterial small subunit ribosomal RNA", at positions 524 to 776 of the family's 1533-position model. The record is from RNAcentral.
UACGUAGGGGGCAAGCGUUGUCCGGAUUUAUUGGGCGUAAAGCGCACGCAGGCGGUCUGCCAAGUUCGGAGUGACAGUUCCCGGCUUAACUGGGAAAGGUCUUCGAAAACUGGUGGACUUGAGACUUUGAGGGGGAGACGGAAUUCCGGGUGGAGCGGUGAAAUGCGUAGAGAUCCGGAGGAACACCGAAGGCGAAGGCAGUCUCCUGGCAAGGUUCUGACGCUCAGGUGCGAAAGCUAGGGGAGCGAACAGG